AUUGAACGCUGGCGGCAUGCUUUACACAUGCAAGUCGAACGGUAACAGGCCUUCGGGUGCUGACGAGUGGCGAACGGGUGCGUAAUGCAUCGGAACGUGCCCAGAGGUGGGGGAUAACGCAGCGAAAGCUGUGCUAAUACCGCAUGUGAUCUGAGGAUGAAAGCGGGGGACCAGGCAGCAAUGUUUGGCCUCGCGCCUUUGGAGCGGCCGAUGUCAGAUUAGGUAGUUGGUGGGGUAAAGGCCUACCAAGCCGACGAUCUGUAGCUGGUCUGAGAGGACGACCAGCCACACUGGGACUGAGACACGGCCCAGACUCCUACGGGAGGCAGCAGUGGGGAAUUUUGGACAAUGGGCGCAAGCCUGAUCCAGCAAUGCCGCGUGCGGGAAGAAGACCUUCGGGUUGUAAACCGCUUUUGUACGGAAAGAAAAGGAUCUGGCUAAUACCUGGGGCUGAUGACGGUACCGUAAGAAUAAGCACCGGCUAACUACGUG
Molecule: ribosomal RNA, 492 nt
Filed under: uncultured bacterium
Lineage: Bacteria
Description: partial 16S ribosomal RNA
Rfam family: Bacterial small subunit ribosomal RNA
Source: RNAcentral